RNAcentral lists this ribosomal RNA (400 nucleotides) under uncultured bacterium. Its description in RNAcentral is "bacterial SSU rRNA". It matches the Rfam family "Bacterial small subunit ribosomal RNA", at positions 355 to 772 of the family's 1533-position model. The record is from RNAcentral.
UGGGGAAUUUUCCGCAAUGGGCGCAAGCCUGACGGAGCAAUACCGCGUGCGGGAGGAAGCUUUUUGGAGUGUAAACCGCUUUUCUCUGGGAAGAUGAUGACGGUACCAGAGGAAUCAGCAUCGGCUAACUUCGUGCCAGCAGCCGCGGUAAUACGAGGGAUGCAAGCGUUAUCCGGAAUUAUUGGGCGUAAAGCGUUCGUAGGUGGUUUUGUAAGUCUGUCGUUAAAGAGUGGAGCUUAACUCCAUAAGGGCGAUGGAAACUGUAGAACUAGAGUAUGGUAGGGGUAACAGGAAUUCCCAGUGUAGCGGUGAAAUGCGUAGAUAUUGGGAAGAACACCAGCGGCGAAAGCGUGUUACUGGGCCAUUACUGACACUGAGGGACGAAAGCUAGGGGAGCGAA